UACUCCUACGGGAGGCAGCAGUAGGGAAUCUUCCACAAUGGGCGAAAGCCUGAUGGAGCAACGCCGCGUGUGUGAUGAAGGCUUUCGGGUCGUAAAGCACUGUUGUAUGGGAAGAACAGCUAGAAUAGGAAAUGAUUUUAGUUUGACGGUACCAUACCAGAAAGGGACGGCUAAAUACGUGCCAGCAGCCGCGGUAAUA
Molecule: ribosomal RNA, 199 nt
Filed under: Leuconostoc mesenteroides
Lineage: Bacteria; Bacillati; Bacillota; Bacilli; Lactobacillales; Lactobacillaceae
Also listed under: 1 other name
Description: partial 16S ribosomal RNA
Rfam family: Bacterial small subunit ribosomal RNA
Source: RNAcentral